AUUGAACGCUGGCGGCAGGCCUAACACAUGCAAGUCGAACGAGUGGCGGACGGGUGAGUAAUGUCUGGGAAACUGCCCGAUGGCGGGGGAUAACUACUGGAAACGGUAGCUAAUACCGCAUACCAUCGGAUGUGCCCAGAUGGGGUUAGCUUGUAGGUCAGGUAACGGCUCACAUAGGCGACGAUCCCUAGCUGGUCUGAGAGGAUGACCAGCACCACGGGAACUGAGACACGGUCCAGACGCCUACGGUAGGUAGCAGUGAGGAAUAUUGCACAAUGGGCGCAAGCCUGAUGCAGCCAUGCCGCGUGUAUGAAGAAGGCCUUCGGGUUGUAAAGUACUUUCAGCGGGGAGGCGUUAUCCGCAGAAGAAGCCACGGCUAACUCCGUGCCAGCAGCCGCGGUAAUAC
RNAcentral lists this ribosomal RNA (406 nucleotides) under uncultured bacterium. Its description in RNAcentral is "partial 16S ribosomal RNA". It matches the Rfam family "Bacterial small subunit ribosomal RNA", at positions 30 to 526 of the family's 1533-position model. The record is from RNAcentral.